GAUGAAGAACGUAGCGAAAUGCGAUACGUAAUGUGAAUUGCAGAUUUUAGUGAAUCAUCGAAUCUUUGAACGCACAUUGCGCCCGCCAGUAUUCUGGCGGGCAUGCCUGUUCGAGCGUCAUUUCAACCAUCAAGCCUUCGCUUGUGUUGGGGCCCCGCGGCUGCCGCGGCCCCCUAAAUCCAGUGGCGGGCUCGUCGUCGUACCGAGCGCAGUAGACAUCCUCGCUCCGGGAACCCGACGGGUGCCGGCCGUGAAACCCCCCCCAUCAAGGUUGACCUCGGAUCAGGUAGGAAUACCCGCUGAACUUAAGCAUAUCAAUAAGCGGAGG
Molecule: unclassified non-coding RNA, 328 nt
Filed under: soil metagenome
Description: partial contains 5.8S ribosomal RNA, internal transcribed spacer 2, and large subunit ribosomal RNA
Rfam family: 5.8S ribosomal RNA (bases 1-120)
Source: RNAcentral